CCUACGGGUGGCAGCAGUUUCGAAUCAUUCACAAUGGGCGAAAGCCUGAUGGUGCGACGCCGCGUGAGGGAUGAAGGUCUUCGGAUUGUAAACCUCUGUCACCGGGGAAGAAACGCUUCAAGUUAAUAGUUUGAAGCCUGACUUAACCCGGAGAGGAAGCAGUGGCUAACUCUGUGCCAGCAGCCGCGGUAAUACAGAGACUCCAAGCGUGUAUCGGGUGCGCAGGGCGCCAAGGGUGCGCGGGCGGCAAGCCCGGAGCUUAACUCCGGAAUUGCUCCUCAAACUACAUUGCUAGAGCAUUGGAGAGGGUAGCAGAAUUCACGGUGUAGCAGUGAAAUGCGUAGAUAUCGUGAGGAAUACCAGAGGCGAAGGCGGCUACCUGGACAAUUGCUGACGCUCAGGCACGAAAGCGUGGGGAGCAAAAGGGAUUAGAUACCCCAGUAGUC
Molecule: ribosomal RNA, 446 nt
Filed under: uncultured bacterium
Lineage: Bacteria
Description: partial 16S ribosomal RNA
Rfam family: Bacterial small subunit ribosomal RNA
Source: RNAcentral